Notothenia coriiceps (black rockcod) is the source of this 2230-nucleotide long non-coding RNA. RefSeq lists it as uncharacterized. The record is from RefSeq and is a predicted model, not a curated record. NCBI's taxonomy places the organism in Eukaryota, Metazoa, Chordata, Actinopteri, Perciformes, Nototheniidae. The transcript is spliced from 3 exons.
AUUGUGACUCUAGAUGUGUAUCUUUGCUGUUUACCAGUCACAGACCUCCAGUUUUCCCAGACUCUUCUUGGUCGACCUGUGCCCUUCGCUACAGCUGGAGAUUGUUAUAGUGCAGCCAAGUGUCCACAGGGCCAGUUCAGCAUUAAUCUGAUCGGAACUGGUCUCAAAGUGGCUGAGGCCACCAAGUGGACAUCACAGGGCAACUAUGUGUCCGUCAAAGUCCACAGAUCUGAGGACGGAGCAAGAAUCUACGGCCGCUGCGGUGGCUUCUGUGGGAAGUGCAUUCCCCAGGCUCACAACGGCCUACUCCUUCAGGUCCACUGAGGGCCACGCACAGACCAAACCCCUACAUCUAUCCCGACGACAGGAGCCCGGGAACAUUCGAUAACAGUGAUUUGUUGGACCCUGUCGUCUUCUGGCAGUGUGAUGGAGGAGCAUUUAACAGCAUCUUAUAGUAACAGCCCCAGUUCCCAAAUGGCAGCUAAAGCAUACAAGACACUACGUACUGUGCAGUACUAGAGGGACCACCAUAAGGCCCUUCAUCCAAACUGAUCACCCUGAAGAAGAGCAUGCUAACCAAGUUGCAAUGGCUACAAAACAUGCCUGCGCUUCGGAACCUAAAAUGCUUGUUUCUUACACAGGUAUGCAUCGUACAAAGGGAUACAAAACUUUAAAUCACUGGGAAAACAACAUUUAAAACACAGAACACUUCAAGGAAGAACUUCUCAUCUUCUUCUCCCUCUCAAAACUCUGUUUCUUGCAGUUAUUCUGUGAAGUGAAGCGUAUUCUUUAAAGAAAAUGUCUGGUAAAAAACGUUCUAGUAUUUCGUCAUGAAGUGUUUUUACAGCUACACUGCAAGCCUUCAGUUACCAGCAAUGGUUGAGAAAGUGUACAAAUCCAUACGCUUUAUGUAUCUAAGAAUCGUUGCAAUCUUCUGGUGACAAAGAAGUUUUACAGACAGACACUGAAAUAAUAUGUGAGGGCUGAGUGUAAUAUGUUCUACUGAGUGAAAUCAUGAUGAAAAAUAAGAAAUACAAAAACACUGUAAUGUUUUUAGACUACUGAAAGAGCUACACUAGAGAUUAUCUUGGCCUUACGACACGUUUAAAGGAAUAUUCUGGAAUGUUAUCAAAUUAACUUUAUGGUCGAGAGUUAGAUGAAAAGAUUGAUACCACUUGCAUGUCAUUAGAUUAGUGACAAUCUUCUCAUUUUACUCUGGUGAAGUGUAUUUCCCAAAUUGUCAAACUAUUGCUUUGGAGCUGAAGACUUAACAAAAGAGUAAGCUAGCAACUAACUUCUGAUGUGACCUGCCUUGUAUCAAAGGUCAAACUGAGGAGCCUUGAGAUCAACUAUAGAUCAUUUUAGGUUUUAAUGUUGUGUAUUACUAAAGUCUGUCUGCUGUCAUCUGUUGUCGGGUAUUUCACAAAACGACUUUAACCUGCAAACACAGUCCCUGACUUCUAUAGAGAGAGAUCAACAAGUGUUUUAUCUAGUGUUUAAGUACAGUGUAAAUCCUUUCUCUGGCUUUUUUAAACCAAGGGGAUUGUUUUAUUUGAAAUGUUUGUGUUUUUCUUUAACUACGCUACACAGACGAGUUCUCAUCUGUAACACCAUUAAACAGUAUCAGUGUGAUGUCUCACCUCACACCCUCCGUUGGGCCUACUGUAGGUACCUGCAAACCCUACCUCUCACAAACAUCCAUACUCGACUGAGAUAUGUGUUGUAAUAUAUUUAUGUUUGACCAUAUUUAUUCUGUAAUGACUGUAGAUACGUUUUAUGUUUUAAGGUACAAUGACUACUACCAACGGAGGAGCCAUUGUCUGAUGUGUUUGGUCCUUUGUCUGCUUUGCUUAAAGAGGUAUUAGCCUACUACUAUUUGUAGUGUAUAACCACUAACCUUAAAUGAGGAUCUUUCGAAUGGUGCUUUUCAACUACUGGAAUUACCUGGCUUUUGGCUGCAAAUGCAUGUACUGUAAUGGUUCUCAUUAAUAUAGCUGAAAAUCUAGCAGGAAGGUAUCCAGAUAUAUAAAAUAUAUCAGACUGCACGAGAAAAUCUGCCCAUAACUCAUUAUGAAUGACUUUCACCAUGACUACUACAGCGAUCAAGUAACCUAACAUGAUGGUACUCCGAUGUUAAGCUUUAACCAAAGUUAGAAGAUAGACGCAGAUUUUUUUUUUCUCUGACAUAAUGCAGCUUCUUUUGAUUUAAGGAACAGCUGAAUAAGUAAAA